This 514-nucleotide ribosomal RNA is filed under the name uncultured bacterium. Its description in RNAcentral is "bacterial SSU rRNA". It matches the Rfam family "Bacterial small subunit ribosomal RNA", at positions 26 to 518 of the family's 1533-position model. The record is from RNAcentral.
AGGACGAACGCUGGCGGCGUGCCUAACACAUGCAAGUCGAACGGGGAUUUGUUUCGGCAGAAUCCUAGUGGCGAACGGGUGAGUAACGCGUAGGCAACCUGCCCUCCGGCCGGGGACAACACUCCGAAAGGGGUGCUAAUACCGGAUACGAAGUCUGUGCCGCAUGGUACGGAUUUGAAAGAUGGCCUCUAUUUAUAAGCUAUCGCCGGGGGAUGGGCCUGCGUCCGAUUAGCUGGUUGGUGGGGUAACGGCCUACCAAGGCGACGAUCGGUAGCCGGUCUGAGAGGAUGAACGGCCACAUUGGGACUGAGACACGGCCCAGACUCCUACGGGAGGCAGCAGUGGGGAAUCUUCCGCAAUGGGCGCAAGCCUGACGGAGCAACGCCGCGUGAGUGAGGAAGUUCUUCGGAACGUAAAGCUCUGUUGUUCCUGACGAACCUCCCUUCUAUCAACAACGGAAGGGACUGACGGUAGGGAACGAGGAAGCCACGGCUAACUACGUGCCAGCCGCAGC